RNAcentral lists this ribosomal RNA (513 nucleotides) under Liphistius thaleri. RNAcentral describes it as "partial large subunit ribosomal RNA". It matches the Rfam family "Bacterial large subunit ribosomal RNA", at positions 1775 to 2625 of the family's 2925-position model. Lineage: Eukaryota; Metazoa; Arthropoda; Arachnida; Araneae; Liphistiidae. The record is from RNAcentral.
GGCUUCCAUGGCGCCUGUUUAUCAAAAACAUGGUUUUUUGUAAUUUUAAAAAAUCGGACCUGCUCAGUGCUUAAAAGUAAAAAGCCGCAGUAUAUUGACUGUGCUAAGGUAGCAUAAUCAUUUGCCUUUUAAUUAGAGGCUAGUAUGAAUGGUUUGACGAGAUAAAUUCUGUCUCUGGAGAGUAUAUUAAAUUUGAUUAGAUGGUAAAAAGGCCACCAUAAUGCUAAGGGACGAUAAGACCCUAUUAAGCUUAAUUUUAGAAUUUUACUGGGGCGGUAUAUUGAGAUAAAGAUCUUAAUAAAGCGGUUAAUAGGAUAGGGACCCAAUAUUAUUGAGUGUAUGAUAAAGUUACUAUAGGGAUAACAGCUUAAUUUUUUUAGGAAGUUCUUAUUCUAAAAAGAGUUUGAGACCUCGAUGUUGAAUUAAAAGUUCUUUUUGGCGCAGGAGCUAAGAGAGAAAGUCUGUUCGACUUUUGAAUUUUUACGUGAUCUGAGUUCAGACCGGCCAUGAAAG